Molecule: ribosomal RNA, 286 nt
Filed under: uncultured bacterium
Lineage: Bacteria
Description: partial 16S ribosomal RNA
Rfam family: Bacterial small subunit ribosomal RNA
Source: RNAcentral
UUUCCUACGGGGCGCAGCAGUGGGGAAUAUUGCACAAUGGGGGGAACCCUGAUGCAGCAAUGCCGCGUGGAGGAUGAAGGUUUUCGGAUUGUAAACUCCUUUUGUACGGGACGAAGAAAGUGACGGUACCGUAAGAAUAAGCCACGGCUAAAUACGUGCCAGCAGCCGCGGUAAUACGUAGGUGGCAAGCGUUAUCCGGAUUUACUGGGUGUAAAGGGCGAGUAGGCGGGGUUGCAAGUCAGAUGUGAAAACUAUGGGCUAAACCGAAAGAGUGCAUGUGAAAGUG